AGUGAACGCUGGCGGUAGGCCUAACACAUGCAAGUCGAACGGCAGCACAGGAGAGCUUGCUCUCUGGGUGGCGAGUGGCGGACGGGUGAGGAAUACAUCGGAAUCUACUUUUUCGUGGGGGAUAACGUAGGGAAACUUACGCUAAUACCGCAUACGACCUACGGGUGAAAGCAGGGGAUCUUCGGCCCUUGCCCGAUUUAAUGAGCCGAUGUCGGAUUAGCUAGUUGGCGGGGUAAAGGACCACCAAGGCGACGAUCCGUAGCUGGUCGGAGAGGAUGAUCAGCCACACUGGAACUGAGACACGGUCCAGACUCCUACGGGAGGCAGCAGUGGGGAAUAUUGGACAAUGGGCGCAAGCCUGAUCCAGCCAUACCGCGUGGGUGAAGAAGGCCUUCGGGUUGUAAAGCCCUUUUGUUGGGAAAGAAAUCCAGCUGGUUAAUACCCGGUUGGGAUGACGGUACCCAAAGAAUAAGCACCGGCUAACUUCGUGCCAGCAGCCGCAGUAA
Molecule: ribosomal RNA, 506 nt
Filed under: uncultured bacterium
Lineage: Bacteria
Description: partial 16S ribosomal RNA
Rfam family: Bacterial small subunit ribosomal RNA
Source: RNAcentral